This 241-nucleotide small RNA is filed under the name Drosophila ananassae. RNAcentral's name for it is "GF26828". The record is from RNAcentral. Lineage: Eukaryota; Metazoa; Arthropoda; Insecta; Diptera; Drosophilidae.
GUAAAAACCAAAGAAGAAUGCACCGCCCAGCGUGAUCCAAAGAACUCUGGGCACAAAUCCAGCAAACAGACUGAAAAAUAAUAAACAUCAAAAUGGUUUCUUUUGUUCUCAGAGAGGGGCAAGACCAUGCUUAAGAAAUGUAGAACUACAUAAGUUAAGUAAUAUAAUGAUAUAUGUUUUGUUAAUUAGCUUAUACAUAUUGUGAAAACUUUGCAAUUAAAGUUGAAUAUUUACCCGCUUA